RNAcentral lists this ribosomal RNA (330 nucleotides) under Triticum aestivum (bread wheat). RNAcentral's name for it is "partial small subunit ribosomal RNA". The record is from RNAcentral. Lineage: Eukaryota; Viridiplantae; Streptophyta; Magnoliopsida; Poales; Poaceae.
AUGGAUAACAACCAGUUUUCCCUCAUGUCUUGGAAUGUCAGAGGGCUGAACUCUCCGGCGAGGAGAGCUGCUGUGUCUGAACUUGCCGCUGCUCACAGAACCCCAAUUCUUUGCCUACAGGAGACAAAGUUGGAAGCGUGGUCGCCUAGCAUCGUGCGCGAGCUGGGAGGCAACCGUUUGGAUGGCUGCGCGGUCGUGCCGGCAGUUGGAACAAGAGGAGGUGCGGCGAUCCUCUGGGACAAGAGCGCCGUGCAGAUCGGCACACAGGCUGUGGGCCUCUUCUCGAUCACAGCCAAGGUCACCCUCCUGCAGUGUUCAUCUUCAUUCUGA